GGAAUCUUCGGCAAUGGGGGCAACCCUGACCGAGCAACGCCGCGUGAGUGAAGAAGGUUUUCGGAUCGUAAAGCUCUGUUGUAAGAGAAGAACGUGUGUGAGAGUGGAAAGUUCACACAGUGACGGUAACUACAGAAGGGACGGCUAACUACGUGCCAG
RNAcentral lists this ribosomal RNA (159 nucleotides) under uncultured bacterium. RNAcentral's name for it is "partial 16S rRNA". It matches the Rfam family "Bacterial small subunit ribosomal RNA", at positions 358 to 511 of the family's 1533-position model. The record is from RNAcentral.